CAGCAGCAAUGCCCAGCCGACCGGUACUAAUAGGCCGAACACUUGCCACACAA
Molecule: ribosomal RNA, 53 nt
Filed under: Nocardioides silvaticus
Lineage: Bacteria; Bacillati; Actinomycetota; Actinomycetes; Propionibacteriales; Nocardioidaceae
Description: Nocardioides sp. CCTCC AB 2018079 partial 23S ribosomal RNA
Source: RNAcentral